GAUGAACGCUGGCGGCGUGCCUAAUACAUGCAAGUCGAGCGAACAGACGAGGAGCUUGCUCCUCUGACGUUAGCGGCGGACGGGUGAGUAACACGUGGAUAACCUACCUAUAAGACUGGGAUAACUUCGGGAAACCGGAGCUAAUACCGGAUAAUAUAUUGAACCGCAUGGUUCAAUAGUGAAAGACGGUUUUGCUGUCACUUAUAGAUGGAUCCGCGCCGCAUUAGCUAGUUGGUAAGGUAACGGCUUACCAAGGCAACGAUGCGUAGCCGACCUGAGAGGGUGAUCGGCCACACUGGAACGGAGACCCGGUCCAGACUCCUACGGGAGGCAGCAGUAGGGAAUCUUCCGCAAUGGGCGAAAGCCUGACGGAGCAACGCCGCGUGAGUGAUGAAGGUCUUCGGAUCGUAAAACUCUGUUAUUAGGGAAGAACAAAUGUGUAAGUAACUAUGCACGUCUUGACGGUACCUAAUCAGAAAGCCACGGCUAACUACGUG
This 497-nucleotide ribosomal RNA is filed under the name uncultured bacterium. RNAcentral describes it as "partial 16S ribosomal RNA". It matches the Rfam family "Bacterial small subunit ribosomal RNA", at positions 28 to 507 of the family's 1533-position model. The record is from RNAcentral.